RNAcentral lists this ribosomal RNA (496 nucleotides) under uncultured bacterium. RNAcentral's name for it is "partial 16S ribosomal RNA". It matches the Rfam family "Bacterial small subunit ribosomal RNA", at positions 28 to 507 of the family's 1533-position model. The record is from RNAcentral.
GAUGAACGCUGGCGGCGUGCCUAAUACAUGCAAGUCGAGCGAACGGACGAGAAGCUUGCUUCUCUGAUGUUAGCGGCGGACGGGUGAGUACACGUGGAUAACCUACCUAUAAGACUGGGAUAACUUCGGGAAACCGUAGCUAAUACCGGAUAAUAUUUUGAACCGCAUGGUUCAAAAGUGAAAGACGGUCUUGCUGUCACUUAUAGAUGGAUCCGCGCUGCAUUAGCUAGUUGGUAAGGUAACGGCUUACCAAGGCAACGAUGCAUAGCCGACCUGAGAGGGUGAUCGGCCACACUGGAACUGAGACACGGUCCAGACUCCUACGGGAGGCAGCAGUAGGGAAUCUUCCGCAAUGGGCGAAAGCCUGACGGAGCAACGCCGCGUGAGUGAUGAAGGUCUUCGGAUCGUAAAACUCUGUUAUUAGGGAAGAACAUAUGUGUAAGUAACUGUGCACAUCUUGACGGUACCUAAUCAGAAAGCCACGGCUAACUACGUG